Panthera uncia (snow leopard) is the source of this 2098-nucleotide RNA transcript. It is a transcript of the gene named transmembrane protein 59 like, with no coding region annotated. NCBI's taxonomy places the organism in Eukaryota, Metazoa, Chordata, Mammalia, Carnivora, Felidae. The record is from RefSeq and is a predicted model, not a curated record. The transcript is spliced from 10 exons.
ACCCGGUCCCCGCCGCCGCCGCCGCUGCCGCCGCCGCAUCCUCGGUGCCUGCCAGGAGCCGGCGUCCCCCGAGCCCCUCGCGCCCGGCACGGCCAUGGCUUCGGUGGCGCUGAUGCCGCUCCUGCUGCUGCUGCUGCAGCCUCCACCUGCCACCCCCGCGCCUUCCGCCCGCGACCCCUUCGCCCCGCAACUCGGGGACACGCAGAGCUGCCAGCUGCGGUGCCGCGACCGCUAUCCCGGUCCGCAGCUCUCGCAGGCAGAGCUUGAGGAGGAGGACCCCACGGAGUCCCCAUAUGAGUAUGACAGGGCUGUCCUGAUCAGUGCUUGUGAGCGUGGCUGCCGCCUCUUCUCCAUCUGCCGAUUCGUGGCCAGGAGCUCCAAGCCCAAUGCCACCCAGACUGAGUGUGAAGCAGCCUGUGUGGAGGCCUAUGUGAAGGAGACCGAGCAGCAGGCCUGCAGCGAGGGUUGCUGGAGCCAGAACCCGGAGCCGGAACCUGAACCCGAGCCUGAGCCAGAGCAGAAGAGAAAGGUCCUGGAAGCUCCAAGUGGGGCCCUUUCGCUCCUGGACUUGUUUUCCACCCUCUGCAAUGACCUUGUCAACUCGGCCCAGGGCUUCGUCUCCUCCACCUGGACAUACUACCUGCAGACUGACAAUGGGAAGGUGGUGGUGUUCCAGACCCAGCCUGUGGUAGAGAACCUGGGGCAUGAAGGGGCCCGUCUGCAGCGAGUAGAGGUGACCUGGCGGGGAUCCCACCCUGAGGCCUUGGAGGUACACGUGGACCCUGUAGGCCCCUUGGACAAAGUGAGGAAGGCCAAGAUCCGAGUCAAGACCAGCAGUAAGGCCAAGGUGGAGUCCGAUGAGCUGCAGGACAACGACUUCCUCAGUUGCAUGUCCCGGCGCUCAGGGCUCCCUCGCUGGAUCCUGGCCUGCUGCCUCUUCCUUUCUGUGCUGGUGAUGCUGUGGCUGAGCUGCUCCACCCUGGUGACCGCACCUGGCCAACACCUCAAGUUUCAGCCCCUGACCCUGGAGCAGCACAAGGGCUUCAUGGUAGAGCCAGACUGGCCCCUGUACCCUCCCCCGUCGCAUGCUUUUGGGGACAGCCCCCCACCCUACAAGCUGAAGCUGGACCUGACCAAGCUCCUGGGCAUGGCCAGGACCCCGGUCCACUUGGAGAUGGGGACAGCCCUGGCAACUCCCCGUGGCUUAAGGAAGGACAGCCCCUCUGCCACCCAGCCCACAUCACACUUCUGACUAGGGAUGUCCCGAGAAAAGUGGCCUUUGCUACCUGCUUGGCCCGGAUGGGAGGCUUGCAGGACAAGAGCAGCCUCCCCCCACGAGGCCACAGCCACGGCUCUCCAUCCUUCCUGUCCAUUCUGCUGACUCCCUGAGAUUCUUCCAAUAAAUCCUCUUUUCAGCCAACUGGAGUCGUUUCUAUUGCCGGCAACCAGAGAUUGCUGGGGAGAGUUUGGGACGAGGGGUGUGGUGGUGGUCAAUGGGGUGGCGGUUUCCCAGGGCUGAUGGACAUCUAUGGGUGACAAGUGGGCUGGGGGAGGGGGUUUAGAGGGAACAAGGUGUGGGGCUGAUUAUCAGCCCAUCCAUGCUUCACCUUACCUUGUGUCCCAGGAGGUGGCGAUCCACUUGGGCUCUCUGCCUUUUGCUAGAGUCACCACAGGUGGGAGGUGGGAGGAGGGAAGAGCGAGAAGUCAGAGUGUUUCUCUUCUGGUGUCGGUCCCUGUAUCCCCCAACCUCCAGCCUGUGCGUGGUCACAGCUCCUCGCUGUUGCUCUUCCAGGGUGCUGCGCCACCCCCUGUCGGUUACCCAACCCUGCCCACACCUCUGCAGAUAGCCCCUUUAUACAACUCCUGAAGCAUCCAUUCUGAGCGGCUCCUGCCGGCACCUUCCUCCCUAAUACCAUGAACAUCAGGACUCAACAUAUAGACAAUUUAGCCCCCAAGGGAUUGUUCUGGGUCCUGGUGGGGUUUCAAGGCAGCCCCUUGGAACGUUGCCAAGAAAUGACACCUGGGCAGAGGUAAGAAGCAACAGCAGGCCCGUGCUGCCCAGUAGAGCUUUCUGCAAUGAUGGAAACAUUCUGUCUGC